RNAcentral lists this unclassified non-coding RNA (344 nucleotides) under soil metagenome. Its description in RNAcentral is "partial contains 5.8S ribosomal RNA, internal transcribed spacer 2, and large subunit ribosomal RNA". The stretch from base 1 to 120 matches the Rfam family "5.8S ribosomal RNA", at positions 35 to 154 of the family's 154-position model. The record is from RNAcentral.
GAUGAAGAACGCAGCGAAAUGCGAUAAGUAAUGUGAAUUGCAGAAUUCAGUGAAUCAUCGAAUCUUUGAACGCACAUUGCGCCCGCCAGUAUUCUGGCGGGCAUGCCUGUUCGAGCGUCAUUUCCACCAUCAGGCCCCCGGGCCUGUGUUGGGGACCUGCGGCUGCCCGCAGGCCCCGAAAUUCAGUGGCGGUCGCGCCGUAGCAACCGAGCGUAAUAACUAAAACGUCUCGCUCUGGCUCGCUGGGCGCGCUCCGGCCGUAAAACACCCCCCCUUUUCGCAAAGGUUGACCUCGGAUCAGGUAGGAAUACCCGCUGAACUUAAGCAUAUCAAUAAGCGGAGGA